UGCGGGGUAGAGCAGUCCGGUAGCUCGUCGGGCUCAUAACCCGGAGGUCGUGGGUUCGAAUCCCACCCCCGCUACCA
Molecule: transfer RNA, 77 nt
Filed under: Myxococcales bacterium
Lineage: Bacteria; Pseudomonadati; Myxococcota; Myxococcia; Myxococcales
Also listed under: 1 other name
Description: tRNA-Met
Rfam family: tRNA
About the family: Transfer RNA (tRNA) molecules are approximately 80 nucleotides in length. Their secondary structure includes four short double-helical elements and three loops (D, anti-codon, and T loops).
Source: RNAcentral